GGUGACAUCACAUGGAGUUCUUGAAAAAAGAUUUAAUGCCACCCACUUAAUGCCAUACAGCAGUAUUGUCAAAGUUAAAAGUGAUGCCAAUGUUAGCUUAAGUGAGGCCGUCUUAAAUGAAAUCACUAGUAAAGUAGUCUUUUGUCGAUGUAAAAAAGCUUGCCAAACCAAGCACUGUCGAUGCUUUGAAAAUGGAAUACUAUGUGUCUCACCAUGUCAUAAAAAAAAACAAAAAAUUGCAAAAACAACAACCCCCAUUUUUCUGUACAGAGUGAAAGGAAUGAUGAUAGUUUAACUGAAUCAGUAGAUACUCAAAUGGCAAUAAUUUCCACAAUCAAUGAGCAAAAAUUAUUUGAGUUUAAUCGCAACAAUAUAAAUGAAGACGAAGAUUCAGGUAACAU
This is a long non-coding RNA of Hydra vulgaris (swiftwater hydra), 401 nucleotides long. RefSeq lists it as uncharacterized. NCBI's taxonomy places the organism in Eukaryota, Metazoa, Cnidaria, Hydrozoa, Anthoathecata, Hydridae. The record is from RefSeq and is a predicted model, not a curated record.